This 253-nucleotide ribosomal RNA is filed under the name uncultured bacterium. RNAcentral's name for it is "partial 16S ribosomal RNA". It matches the Rfam family "Bacterial small subunit ribosomal RNA", at positions 524 to 776 of the family's 1533-position model. The record is from RNAcentral.
UACGUAGGGUGCAAGCGUUAAUCGGAAUUACUGGGCGUAAAGCGAGCGCAGGCGGUUAUGUAAGACAGAUGUGAAAUCCCAGGGCUUAACCUUGGAACUGCAUUUGUGACUGCAUGGCUAGAGUGUGUCAGAGGGGGGUGGAACUCCACGUGUAGCAGUGAAAUGCGUAGAUAUCGAGAGGAACACCUGCGGCGAAGGCGGGUUGCUGGGCUGAUACUGACGCUGAGGCGCGAAAGCCAGGGGAGCGAACGGG